Non-coding RNA from Malus domestica (apple), 194 nucleotides. Lineage: Eukaryota; Viridiplantae; Streptophyta; Magnoliopsida; Rosales; Rosaceae. The record is from RefSeq and is a predicted model, not a curated record.
AAUAAUUUUUUUUAUUACAUUAAUUAAUUUAAUAUUAAUUUAAUUGGUCAAGCUCGAAGAAAGAGUCUACAAAAUUUUAAUUAUCAAAUGAGACUAGUAGUUAAUCUGUUAAAGGAUACAAAAUAUAUAAUUUAAAGGCAUUUUAUUUGCCCCCUUUUUUUUCCGUAAAAUUAAAGUGUUGGAUACCAUAGCAU